This 548-nucleotide ribosomal RNA is filed under the name Klebsiella pneumoniae. RNAcentral describes it as "bacterial SSU rRNA". It matches the Rfam family "Bacterial small subunit ribosomal RNA", at positions 1 to 540 of the family's 1533-position model. The record is from RNAcentral. Lineage: Bacteria; Pseudomonadati; Pseudomonadota; Gammaproteobacteria; Enterobacterales; Enterobacteriaceae.
AAAUUGAAGAGUUUGAUCAUGGCUCAGAUUGAACGCUGGCGGCAGGCCUAACACAUGCAAGUCGAGCGGUAGCACAGAGAGCUUGCUCUCGGGUGACGAGCGGCGGACGGGUGAGUAAUGUCUGGGAAACUGCCUGAUGGAGGGGGAUAACUACUGGAAACGGUAGCUAAUACCGCAUAAUGUCGCAAGACCAAAGUGGGGGACCUUCGGGCCUCAUGCCAUCAGAUGUGCCCAGAUGGGAUUAGCUAGUAGGUGGGGUAACGGCUCACCUAGGCGACGAUCCCUAGCUGGUCUGAGAGGAUGACCAGCCACACUGGAACUGAGACACGGUCCAGACUCCUACGGGAGGCAGCAGUGGGGAAUAUUGCACAAUGGGCGCAAGCCUGAUGCAGCCAUGCCGCGUGUGUGAAGAAGGCCUUCGGGUUGUAAAGCACUUUCAGCGGGGAGGAAGGCGUUAAGGUUAAUAACCUUGGCGAUUGACGUUACCCGCAGAAGAAGCACCGGCUAACUCCGUGCCAGCAGCCGCGGUAAUACGGAGGGUGCAAGCG